This 423-nucleotide ribosomal RNA is filed under the name uncultured bacterium. RNAcentral's name for it is "bacterial SSU rRNA". It matches the Rfam family "Bacterial small subunit ribosomal RNA", at positions 207 to 622 of the family's 1533-position model. The record is from RNAcentral.
AAGACCUUGCGCUUUUGGAGCGGCCGAUGCCUGAUUAGCUUGUUGGUAAGGUAAAAGCUUACCAAGGCUUCGAUCAGUAGCUGGUCUGAGAGGACGACCAGCCACACUGGGACUGAGACACGGCCCAGACUCCUACGGGAGGCAGCAGUGGGGAAUUUUGGACAAUGGGGGCAACCCUGAUCCAGCCAUGCCGCGUGAGUGAAGAAGGCCUUCGGGUUGUAAAGCUCUUUCAGCCGGAACGAAACGGUUACGGAUAACACCCGUGACUACUGACGGUACCGGAAGAAGAAGCACCGGCUAACUACGUGCCAGCAGCCGCGGUAAUACGUAGGGUGCGAGCGUUAAUCGGAAUUACUGGGCGUAAAGCGUGCGCAGGUGGUUUUGUAAGGCAGAUGUGAAAGCCCCGGGCUCAACCUGGGAACU